GACGAACGCUGGCGGCGUGCUUAACACAUGCAAGUCGAACGAAGAGCGAUGGAAGCUUGCUUCUAUCACUCUUAGUGGCGAACGGGUGAGUAACGCGUAAUCAACCUGCCCUUCAGAGGGGGACAACAGUUGGAAACGACUGCUAAUACCGCAUACGAUCUGACCUCGGCAUCGAGGAUAGAUGAAAGGUGGCCUCUAUUUAUAAGCUAUCACUGAAGGAGGGGAUUGCGUCUGAUUAGCUAGUUGGAGGGGUAACGGCCCACCAAGGCGAUGAUCAGUAGCCGGUCUGAGAGGAUGAACGGCCACAUUGGGACUGAGACACGGCCCAGACUCCUACGGGAGGCAGCAGUGGGGAAUCUUCCGCAAUGGACGAAAGUCUGACGGAGCAACGCCGCGUGAGGGAUGACGGCCUUCGGGUUGUAAAGCCCUGUUAAUCGGGACGAAAGGCCUUCUUGCGAAUAGUUAGAAGGAUUGACGGUACCGGAAUAGAAAGCCACGGCUAACUACGUG
This 510-nucleotide ribosomal RNA is filed under the name uncultured bacterium. RNAcentral describes it as "partial 16S ribosomal RNA". It matches the Rfam family "Bacterial small subunit ribosomal RNA", at positions 28 to 507 of the family's 1533-position model. The record is from RNAcentral.